This 377-nucleotide ribosomal RNA is filed under the name uncultured organism. RNAcentral's name for it is "partial 16S ribosomal RNA". It matches the Rfam family "Bacterial small subunit ribosomal RNA", at positions 527 to 896 of the family's 1533-position model. The record is from RNAcentral.
GGAGGGUGCAAGCGUUGUUCGGAAUCACUGGGCGUAAAGCGCGUGUAGGCGGCUUGGCAAGUCGAGUGUGAAAUCCCAGGGCUCAACCCUGGAACUGCACCCGAAGCUGCUUCGCUAGAGUCCCGGAGAGGGUGGCGGAAUUUCCGGUGUAGAGGUGAAAUUCGUAGAUAUCGGAAGGAACACCAGUGGCGAGGGCGGCCACCGUGGACGGUGACUGACGCUGAGACGCGAAAGCGUGGGGAGCAAACAGGGAUUAGAUACCCUGGUAGUCCACGCCGUAAACGUUGAGUGCUAGGCGUCGGGGGUAUUGACCCCCUCCGGUGCCCGGAGUUAACGCAUUAAGCACUCCGCCGUGGGGGAGUACGGCCGCAAGGCUA